AUGAAAAAUAAAACAUGGCACCUAGUACCAUCAAGAAGUGGAAUGAAUGUUAUUGAUUGUAAAUGGGUGUACAAGAUAAAAAGGAAGUCAGAUGGAAGUAUAGACAGGUACAAGGCUAGAUUAGUUGCUAAAGGCUUUAAGCAAAGGUUUGGGAUUCACUAUGAGGAUACUUUUAGUCUAGUUGUUAAAUCAGCCACCAUUCGACUUGUCUUGUCUAUUGCUGUUUCCAGAGAUUGGAGCUUAAGACAGCUAGAUGUUCAGAACGCGUUUCUUCAUGGUGUUCUUGAGGAAGAGGUGUUCAUGCGGCAGCCGCCAAGUUAUGAAAACAAAGGUACACCACAUUAUGUUUGUAAGUUGGAUAAAGCUCUAUAUGGUUUAAAACAGGCGCCAAGAGCUUGGUAUUCACGAUUGAGCAUGCAACUACAACAACUUGGGUUUGUACCAUCCAAGGCAGACACAUCCUUGUUCUUUUACAAUAAAGGAAAUGUCACUAUUUUUGUGCUAGUUUAUGUUGAUGAUAUUAUUGUUGCUAGCUCGAGUUCAAGUGCCACUACUUGUUUGCUUAAAGAUCUUAAGUUGAAAUUUGCUCUCAAGGAUUUGGGAGAUCUUCAUUAUUUUCUUGGCAUUGAGGUCAAACAGAUAAGAGAUGGUAUACUUCUGACACAGGAAAAAUACACAGCUGACAUACUCAGGAGAGUAGGUUUGGAAAAAUGUAAACCUGUGAGUACACCUAUCUCAACUUCUGAAAAACUUGCUGUUGAAAGUGGAGAGCCACUUGGGUCAGAGGAUGCAACAAAUUACAGGAGUGUUGUGGGUGCCUUGCAAUAUUUGACACUUACACGCCCUGACAUUUCUUAUGCGGUCAACAAGGUAUGUCAGUAUUUACAUGCUCCUAGCACUACUCAUUGGACUGCAGUUAAGAGGAUUUUGAGGUACCUUAAGUUUUCAGAGGGACUUGGACUUCAAAUUACCAAGUCUUCUUCUAUGCUUGUUACUGCCUACUCUGAUGCAGACAUGGCAGUAUGUAUUGAUGAUAGAAGGUCAACUGGUGGAUUUGCUGUAUUUCUGGGAUCCAAUCUUGUGUCAUGGAGUGCAAGAAAGCAGGGUACAGUUUCUAGAUCAAGUACUGAGGCUGAAUACAAAGCUUUGGCAAAUGCCACAGCUGAAGUAAUGUGGAUACAGACACUGCUUUAUGAACUUGGAAUUAAGACUCCAAAAGCAGCCAGACUAUGGUGUGAUAAUAUUGGUGCAACCUAUCAGUCAGCUAAUCCUGUUUUUCAUGCACGCACAAAGCAUAUUGAAGUUGAUUGCCACUUUGUCAGAGAAAGAGUAGCUAGAAAGCUCCUCGAAAUUCAGCUCAUUCCUACCGGAGAUCAACUUGCUGAUGGAUUCACAAAGCCUCUCACUAUGAGGAGGUUAGAUGAGUUCAAGUACAAUCUCAACCUUGGUCGAAGUUCAUGA
Molecule: ribosomal RNA, 1461 nt
Filed under: Triticum aestivum (bread wheat)
Lineage: Eukaryota; Viridiplantae; Streptophyta; Magnoliopsida; Poales; Poaceae
Description: partial small subunit ribosomal RNA
Source: RNAcentral